UGUUUGGUGGCUGAGAUAAAUAAGCGAUAGACUGUAGAUCUAUUAACGGAGUUAGGUCUUCCCAACAA
RNAcentral lists this transfer RNA (68 nucleotides) under Gemmuloborsonia moosai. Its description in RNAcentral is "tRNA-Tyr". The record is from RNAcentral. Lineage: Eukaryota; Metazoa; Mollusca; Gastropoda; Neogastropoda; Turridae.